Suricata suricatta (meerkat) is the source of this 105-nucleotide long non-coding RNA. RefSeq lists it as uncharacterized. The record is from RefSeq and is a predicted model, not a curated record. The transcript is spliced from 3 exons. NCBI's taxonomy places the organism in Eukaryota, Metazoa, Chordata, Mammalia, Carnivora, Herpestidae.
GGGCACCUCCGCUUGACAAAUACGAGAAAACCGAGACUCAGCAAGGUAUGCAAAUGUUCCAGAAAUUCUGUGAAAUUCCUGGAAUCUGGUUUUUUUAAAUGCCUG